GCUAGCAGCUAGCACCGUAACGUUCAAUUUCGGUCCGGGAGGAUUUCAUUGACAGAUAAACAUGUCUGGAAUUGUAUCGUUUUUCGGGGGGCCAAUAAGCCUCCUUAAAAUGACUGGAAUACGCCGGCCUUUCUCCUUGCCACCCAGCAAUGAAAUUAGAAAGAAGAGGAAGAAGAAGCCUUUCUCGUCCCGGCGGAGCUGCGGCCUGGUGGUCGGUUCGGAGCCAAUGGCGGAGGACUGCGCGAUUUCAACUCAGAAGCCUGCAGAAAACCCUACCCUGAGUGUGUCUGUGCCCUUGACCUUGUCCUGCGACCUUUGACCCUGACUUUAAUCCUCUCAGCCCUCCUCUGAGCUCGUUGUUUCAUGCCUGGUCAUGCACAGUAGCAGCAGCAGCAGCAGCCAACACGUUUGUUUCAGAAAGAUGCAACCUGAACCGUCAGCAGACAGCUGAGAGCUGCGAAUCACAAGAUGCUGAAUAAGACGAUAGUUUCUAGUGAAAACUCAUCAGUUUAAGAACAAACUUCAGCAAAACAUUCAGGUGAUAGAAGGCUGACUUUGUUGCUGCCCUUAUGUGACUCUGAAUGUUCAAGGUCUACAACACUUUAGAAGGUUGGACUGUUCAUCCUUCACCUCUACAAAAUAAAACUCGACCACAGCUGCAAAAAUUACUUU
This is a long non-coding RNA of Xiphophorus couchianus (Monterrey platyfish), 672 nucleotides long. RefSeq lists it as uncharacterized. The record is from RefSeq and is a predicted model, not a curated record. Lineage: Eukaryota; Metazoa; Chordata; Actinopteri; Cyprinodontiformes; Poeciliidae. The transcript is spliced from 4 exons.